This 382-nucleotide long non-coding RNA is filed under the name Equus caballus (horse). RNAcentral describes it as "lncRNA (ENSECAG00000056985.1)". The record is from RNAcentral. Lineage: Eukaryota; Metazoa; Chordata; Mammalia; Perissodactyla; Equidae.
GUGGUGACUGGGCUGAGUCAACCAGGUUCUCCCUCAGGAAUGUGAACUAAGACACACUGAAAGAAUGGAGCAGAUAACAGAAAUCUGAAGCUGAGGGAACGUUCUGGGGCAGAGGAGCAACCAUGAUGCCCCAUUCUCAGGGAAAAGUUAUGAGGCAGGAGGAAUUGGAAAAAAACAACAGAGACCCAGAAUAAAGCCCAGAGAGCAGAGAAUUGGGAAAAAAAAUGAGCUAGCUGGAAGAGAGAUACAGACACACCAAAGAGGAAUUUAUUUAGCUAUGUUUCACUCAGAAGAUCCUGUUGACAGCCCGGAUGCACACCGCUGGGCUUUCCUUGAUCAGCCUUCUUCUCUGUUGUGGAAGGAAACGCAGGUGCCUUCUGUA